RNAcentral lists this long non-coding RNA (478 nucleotides) under Musa acuminata (dwarf banana). Its description in RNAcentral is "long non-coding RNA (MACU_LNC002933)". The record is from RNAcentral. Lineage: Eukaryota; Viridiplantae; Streptophyta; Magnoliopsida; Zingiberales; Musaceae.
GCGAGGAGUAGCCCGAGGGGGACGUGGAGCCCAGAGAACCGGCUGGCGUCGGCUGCUGGGAUGAGAUGCGCUGAUACCUGACUGGCGGCGGCGGGGACGAGGUGGGCGGCUGAUAACUGACUGGCGUCGGCGGUGGCGGGGACGAGGUGGGCGGCUGAUAACUGACUGGCGUCGGCGGUGGCGGGGACGAGGAGGGCACAUAUUUGGCUGGCGAAAGCGGCGAUGGCGGUGGGGACGAGGAAGGCUGAUAACUAGCUGGCGUCGGCGACGGCCGGGAGGACGAACCGUAAUUUACGACGAAGGCCGGCGGCGAGGUUGUGGCAUGAUAGAUCGAGUUGGAGGAAUUGCGAGGGACGCAGACAGCCGUCGCGGGGACGAGCACGCACGAAAAGAGGGCGACAAGGAGGAGAUGAUGGGUUUCCGGCCUCAUGGUGACAGUGGCGAGAACGGAGGCCAGAAGGUGGCGGAGGAAGAACCG